This is a long non-coding RNA of Macadamia integrifolia, 216 nucleotides long. RefSeq lists it as uncharacterized. The record is from RefSeq and is a predicted model, not a curated record. The transcript is spliced from 3 exons. Lineage: Eukaryota; Viridiplantae; Streptophyta; Magnoliopsida; Proteales; Proteaceae.
CACGAUUCCGGAGGUUCGUAUAAAAGCGAUGGAUUCAAGUUGAAUCCAUUUCCACAUCAUCCUGCGAUUCUCCCGGUGAAGUCCGACCGAGGUUCAGCGACGGUGAAGCAACAGCUCGCAUCUGAGAAGAACACCUAAAACCGAGUUGAUUGAAGGUUGUAACUUCAUAUCUAGGGUUUACCCUAUUUCCAAAUCAGACGAUCGACUCCAAGGUUU